GACGAACGCUGGCGGCGUGCCUAAUACAUGCCAGUCGAACGAGAGCGACCGGUGCUUGCACUGGUCAAUCUAGUGGCGAACGGGUGAGUAACACGUGGGUAACCUGCCCAUCAGAGGGGGAUAACAUCCGGAAACGGAUGCUAAAACCGCAUAGGUCUUCGAACCGCAUGGUUUGAAGAGGAAAAGAGGCGCAAGCUUCUGCUGAUGGAUGGACCCGCGGUGCAUUAGCUAGUUGGUGAGGUAACGGCUCACCAAGGCCGUGAUGCAUAGCCGACCUGAGAGGGUGAUCGGCCACAUUGGGACUGAGACACGGCCCAAACUCCUACGGGAGGCAGCAGUAGGGAAUCUUCCGCAAUGGACGCAAGUCUGACGGAGCAACGCCGCGUGAGUGAAGAAGGUUUUUGGAUCGUAAAACUCUGUUGUUAGAGAAGAACAAGUGCUGGAGUAACUGUUAGCGCCUUGACGGUAUCUAACCAGAAAGCCACGGCUAACUACGUG
This 498-nucleotide ribosomal RNA is filed under the name uncultured bacterium. Its description in RNAcentral is "partial 16S ribosomal RNA". It matches the Rfam family "Bacterial small subunit ribosomal RNA", at positions 28 to 507 of the family's 1533-position model. The record is from RNAcentral.